AAGGUGGGAGGGGCUUGAGCGGGUAUUGAGUUUGGUUUUAUCAUUGAGUGUAGUGGAGGACCCGACUGCAGAAUAGGCUCCCUCCUCUCCUCUCCACUCCUCUCACUCGACUCUAGAGCUCUACUUUGUCCCGUCGUGAUCCACAGGGCACAACCAUGGAGGAAAUGGACUUUGAGCGGCGCAGGGAGUUGAGGAGACAGAAGCGGGAAGAGAUGCGCCUGGAGGCAGAGAGGAUGGCAAGGAAUGAUGAUGAUGAAGAGGAGGCGGCCCGUGAGAGGAGGCGCAGGGCACGCCAGGAGAGGAUGAAGAGCAGGGAGAGCGAGGAGCCCAGCGGCCAGUCGGAGAGCCUGGUUAUGACAAACAGCCACAGUGUCACAGAGACUGUGUCUGUGAGCAGCUCUUAUGGAGGCGGUGGAGAUGACGAGGACCAAGCCCUACUGGACCGCAUGGCCAAACGUGAGGAGAGACGGCAGAGGCGCAUGAAGGAGGCGCUGGAGAGACAGAGACAGCUGGACCCCACUGAGACGGAGGGCAACGACAGCGCCGCCACGGAGAAAAACAGCGCAGAAGAGGAGAGGCCCUCCUCCUGGCGUAGGGGACGUUACCGUGACAAUGACGACGAGGCUGAGAAGAUGGAAACCUAUAGCUCGAGAAGAGAGGAGGAGAAGGAGCGAGAGGAGCCGAGGGAGGAAGAGCAGGCUGCCCCUGAGGGGGGAGAGGAAGAAGCGGAGGGGGUAGAUGAAGAGGAGGAGCAGCCAGUUGCAGUUAUGGAGGACAAGCCGAGAAGGUCUUACUUGAGAGACCAGGCGUCAGCUGAAGAGCCUAAAAUGCAAAACAAGGACUUCACCGAAGAAGAAAGACAUUCGGUAGUCAGUGAAAGUUCAAAUCAGGCCAAGUCAUCAAAUUCAGAGACUGGGGAGGAUACAGUAGCAUCAGGGGAAGCUGAAGAGGUACCUGAGGAUGAUAAUGUAGAUAAUUCACAGGGGAACAAGCCUAUGUUACUAAGAAAUGACAGUGAAGAGGACUUUGAGGUAUCUGAGAUACUGCAAUCAGAAGAUAAUGAGGUGAAUGAGCCCAGAGAGGAGAGGGAGGAUCAGAGGAAGCACAACGGAGGGCUGCAUGAGGAGGCGCCUCCCAAACAGCACAGGAAACCUGAGAGGACCACCAGCCGCGGCAGCGUGCGCUCCCCCGAGCCUUCUGCGGGUGAUGACCCGGACGAGGACGCCCGCCUGGAGGCGGAGCGCAAGCUGGAGGAGCUGAAGCGGCGUCGCGAUGACGCGGAGAGCGAGGAGUUUGAGAGGAUGAGGCAGAAGCAGCAGGAGGCCGAAGCUGAGCUGGAGGAGCUGAAAAGGAAGAGGGAGGAGAGGAGAAAGGUGCUGGAGGAGGAGGAGAGGCAGAGGAAGCAGGAAGAGGCAGAAAGGAAAGCCAAAGAGGAGGAGGAGAAGAGGAAGAUGAAAGAGGAGAUCGAAAGGAGGAGAGCAGAGGCGGCUGAGAAGAGACAGAAGGUGGAUGACACUAUGGAUGGAGAGGGCAAACCAUUUAAGUGUCUCAGCCCUCGAGGAUCCUCUCUGAAGAUUGAGGAGAGAGCCGAGUUUCUAAACAAGUCAGCACAGAAAAGCACAAUGAAGACGUCUCAUUGUCCUGUGGUGUCCAAGAUAGACAACAGGCUGGAGCAGUACACCUCAGCUGCUCAGAGAGAGAACAAGGAGUCACGAUCCCCUCGCUCCGGAGCCGUGGAUCUGCCCAUGGUCACCGACAGCAUACGAAACAUCAAGAGCAUGUGGGAGAAAGGCAACGUGUUCAGCUCGCCUGGAAGCGGCGGGAGCACAUUCAAGGAAGCAGCUGUGAUAAAGACAGGCGUAGCGGGCCGCAUCAACGACUGGCUGAAUAAAACCCCAGAGGGCAGCAAGACAUCAGGAGGAAGGCCAGUGGACCUGAAGCCUGUUGACGUCACCAACAAGAGGAGUCUAUGGGAAAACAAAGGCGCCUCUCCGGCCAAGAACUCUGAUAGCUAGUUGACCUCACCGGUAAAUCUGGAAUAAGCCUGGAGAGGUGGCAGGCAGAGGGGAGAGCAAAUCAGUUGCUAAUGGUAUGGGACACUAAUGUCUUGAAGGAGCCACUAAAGCUGGGGACCACGACAAUCCAAGACUCUUCUUUGACUUUUCCUUAAGAACCAAAUACAACACCCCCAGGAGGGACCCCCAAGAGCACGCAGGGACAGGACAGACACUGUCUGAGCACUGUACCGAAACAGCAUCAGCAUAUUGUUAUAGGCUUACCACGUAUAGUGCCUUUGCACAAUAAUUUCUGCUUUCUAAAAAAAAAAAGUAUGAUAACAACAAAAUGCUGUGAAAUUUGGACAUUUUAAAUUACUACUUUAUAAAAUCCUGCCAGGAAAACAAAAAAACUAAUAGAAUUAAGAUUUAUGUCUCGUACUCCGUGCUGAGUGGAUGAGUUUAAAAGUUUCCACAUUCCAAAGAGAUGGGUGAUAUCACUUCUCUCCCUCAGAAUAUUUUCCAUCUCUCUCUUUUUUUAUUUAUAUUUAAAGCAAAAGCUUCACACAAUGCUAUAUUAUUCAACGUUCACCUGUUCAGGAUAGAAAUAUAAGCACUUCUAGAGUUUAGCUGAUUUCACUUUUAUUGUCUUACCAAUAGUGCAGCAAUGGUCUGAGUAAUAUAUGCUAGCACAUGUGAUGUUUUGACUAUGACCUAUCAUACAGUAUCAUAUAUAACAUCUGUAUACUCAUAACAAAAGGUAUUUUUUGCUUUUUUUUUAUUCAUUCACCAACAGGCAGUUAAUUUUGAAGGUGAUGGGAGUGUUGGAUAUUCAGAAGGCCAUUUUGACAUUUAUUAUCCUUUCAUGUCAUUUCUUUUUUAAUUUAUGUUUUAAUGUUUUUUUUUUAGUUCUUUCUAGCUUUCGAACACUUUAAAACAUCUUCAGACAUUCCCCUUAAAGCAGUUGCACGUGGUGCCUUUGCUGCCUUAAAGUUUUAUAAUGUAGGACAUGUUUUUUUUUAAUCUGCCUUUAACUUCUUUUUUGCCUCUAUGCACACUCUUAUGCUCAGCAAUACUUUACAUAUUGAGGGCAUACAAAGUAAAAUCAGGGUGCCUAAACAUAUAGCAAGGUCAUAGUAACAAGCAUAUUUACCACUAUGUAAAACUUCUGGCCUUAUGAUUGCAAUGACAGCAUUUAGGACAGCCGAGGUACAGUACUUUAAAGCCUCCUAGCAGCUCAGCAUGAUUUUGAGACUUGUGAUUUUUCACGUUUUCGCGCAGCACAAGCUUAUAAGAAUAUGAACUGUUUGUCAGGGCAUUAAAUUGAUCGAUGUUACUGCUCAACAAUCUGACAAUCACAUUCCAUGGCUUCUGAAAAGAGCAGGGGAGCUGGACCAAAAUAUUUUUAAGCAUGAUAAAAUGUGACGUUUUUGUAUUUUUUUUUAAUGUAAUGGUUUCAUAAUGUUGUGUUUUGUUUUGUUUUCUACAGCCUUGUGUCCAUUUUUAAAAUUUCCAUGUUUAACCAGACACUUGUUUCUUGUGUGGCGCUAAGCCUAUGCAGAAUACACGAUCUGUAGUCUCUCUCCAAAUGUCAUACAAGCAGGCAUUUUCCAAGCGGAGGAAUGUGUUGAACAUUGUAACCUUGACUCAACAACAGCAAUAAAUACAUUGAGGUAUUCCA
Oreochromis niloticus (Nile tilapia) is the source of this 3675-nucleotide RNA transcript. It is a transcript of the gene named caldesmon 1a, with no coding region annotated. The transcript is spliced from 17 exons. The record is from RefSeq and is a predicted model, not a curated record. NCBI's taxonomy places the organism in Eukaryota, Metazoa, Chordata, Actinopteri, Cichliformes, Cichlidae.